CAUGCGACGGACGUCAGGUGCGCAAUAACUUAGCUAAAAUAAGUCUGUGUGGUCGGUGACGGUAUAACUGUAUAACGGAAGCCAGAACACGUUAGUGUAGGUCAGGUCAAAACCUCAAGUGUCAACACGGAGAAGGCGGAACCGGCAGCGACAUUCACAACUUCCUGCGAACGAUGGAGAGACGCUUGCUUGUAGCUUAUGUUAUGGCACCUUAAUGGACAGCACCUCAUUAUGUCCAUUGAUCGCAAACCCCAAGGAGAGAUCCAACAGAAAAAGGCCCAAGGGAAGUUUAAGACAAUCUGCAACCUGUGCCCUCCUCUGACAAGAGUAAUAAACUUCAGGAGGGGGGCCCUCCUGAAGUAGGACUCCAAUGAUGAACCUGCCUACCUGCUUGUACUUCAGAGCAAUGAGACCUCCAGUUUUCUGCUGUGGUGUUUACUCUGGGUCUGCCAAAGGAGGAAGGAGAGGGGAUCCAUUUGUCCCAAGAUCUAUAGAGGCCUACAGCAGCCAGCUCAUUCAUUACAUGCACCAUGCGUCCUGUAGAGACGGGCAGGACACUUUCACACACAAAGGGGUUCUUCUGUGUGGAGUAGACGCCGCUGGUCUUCGCCGCCUGGGUGUUCUUCAGGAUCCAGGAUUUCACUUGUGGAGUGAACGGGAUUCCAGUGAACCUGUACAUCUCCGUCGCCUUCCUCAUGGGAAACCGAGC
Molecule: long non-coding RNA, 709 nt
Organism: Scophthalmus maximus (turbot)
Lineage: Eukaryota; Metazoa; Chordata; Actinopteri; Pleuronectiformes; Scophthalmidae
Exons: 5
Source: RefSeq, a predicted model, not a curated record